CCGGCGGGAGCGCGGGGCUCAGGGCCAGGGCCCGCCUCCAGGGGGCGGUGUGCGCCCCCGGCGCCGGAGCAGCCGCGUUUCGGGGACCCGGGCAGGCGUGGGGGGCUGCGCUGAGCUCCAGGCCUCCUGCAGGACGGAACAUGCUGCUGGUUUUUCCAUGUCUCGGUCUCCUUCUGCUGAGUAUUCUUCUAUUUCAAUCAUGAGUGUAGCAGCCCAUUUCAACAUACUGAAAACACUCACCCUAGGGCUUUCAAGUCCCUGCUGUGGACAAUCCGCAUGUGACAGCUGAGACAGGAGGAAGAGGCCCAAGGGAACGCAUUCCUGCUAGGACAGAGCUGGCUGGCUGCACAGUGGAGAGUGUUUGCUGGAAGCUGCUACCAGCCAUGGGGCACCUACCCGCCCAGCGGCCCUUGCAUCCAGAUGCAGAGCCCUGGACAAAGGACGGAGCUGUGAAAACAGUGCCUGGAGGAUCUGAUCCCUUCUAGCAAGGCCAAGAGACACAGCUGGGCUGGGGAGGACGGGGUCUCCAGGCCUCACCAUAGCCACUUAUCUAGACGCCAGCAUCAAAAGGUUCAAAGCCAAGGUCACAGGCUCAUGAAAAAAUUAAGCAGGUAUCAAAAAAUAUCACAAAGGCAACAGUUUUAUGACAUGAAAACAUCUAUCAGAGACAAUAUAAACCUGUCUGCUAAUAGAACCAGGUAACACUGUCUAAAUUAAAUUCUGAAGAGAUUUCAAUUUUAUUUUACUAAUGAUUUUUAAAACUAGCUUUAUUUACCCAACAUGACUAAAGUCCCAUUGACCUGAAAAGCAUUUGGGCUUAUUUACUUAAUUUAUGAGUACUCCUUUAUUUAUAAGUCUAUUCAGUACCAUGUAGACAAUGUUCAAACGCAGACAUAUGCACGCAUACAUAAAAAUACAAAUGAACACAAAAAAAUAAAGACUACAUGCUUUUAUUUUUAAAAUUUUAGCCAUGAGACUGGUAAAAUUCACUAGUUUAAAAGGACAGUUGUAUUAAAUUGUGUCUCUGUAAAUGGAACAAUUUAAAAUGUAUCUGUCCUACAUGGUUGAAGUCCUUACCUUACAGAGUUUUAGAGAAAGCAGGGUAGCAAAUUUACAUCUCAAAGCACAGAGAGAAUUUUAGCUUUCUCAAGAAGGAGUUUGAGUGUGUUAGAGCAAGAUUAAAAAUGGAUUUCAAGGUAACAAAAAGUUAUGGAAAUCCACCACAGGAUGUUUUUCAUUUUGUUUUUGGAGGCAGGGUCUCACUCUGUUGCUGAGGCUGGAGUGCAAUGGCGCAAUCAUGGCUCACUGAAGUCUCGACCUGGGUUCAAGCAAUCCCUUUGCCUGAACCUCCUGAGUAGCUGCUACUAUAGGCACAUGUCAUCAA
Long non-coding RNA from Pan troglodytes (chimpanzee), 1384 nucleotides. RefSeq lists it as uncharacterized. The transcript has 4 exons. The record is from RefSeq and is a predicted model, not a curated record. Lineage: Eukaryota; Metazoa; Chordata; Mammalia; Primates; Hominidae.